This 87-nucleotide transfer RNA is filed under the name Candidatus Borkfalkia excrementipullorum. Its description in RNAcentral is "tRNA-Leu". It matches the Rfam family "tRNA". From Rfam's summary of the family: Transfer RNA (tRNA) molecules are approximately 80 nucleotides in length. Their secondary structure includes four short double-helical elements and three loops (D, anti-codon, and T loops). The record is from RNAcentral. Lineage: Bacteria; Bacillati; Bacillota; Clostridia; Christensenellales; Christensenellaceae.
GCGAGUGUGGUGAAAUUGGCAGACGCGCUAGAUUCAGGUUCUAGUGGAAGCGAUUCCGUGCAGGUUCAAGUCCUGUCACUCGCACCA